UGGGGAAUAUGCACAAUGGGCGCAAGCCUGAUGCAGCCAUGCCGCGUGUGUGAAGAAGGCCUUCGGGUUGUAAAGCACUUUCAGCGAGGAGGAAGGUGUGAGCUUAAUACGCUCAUCAAUUGACGUUACUCGCAGAAGAAGCACCGGCUAACUCCGUGCCAGCAGCCGCGGUAAUACGGAGGGUGCAAGCGUUAAUCGGAAUUACUGGGCGUAAAGCGCACGCAGGCGGUUUGUUAAGGUCAAGAUGUGAAAAGUCCCCGGGCUCAACCUGGAACUGCAUUUGAAACUGGCAAGCUAGAGUCUCGUAGAGGGGGGUAGAAUUCCAGGUGUAGCGGUGAAAUGCGUAGAGAUCUGGAGG
This 358-nucleotide ribosomal RNA is filed under the name uncultured bacterium. RNAcentral describes it as "partial 16S ribosomal RNA". It matches the Rfam family "Bacterial small subunit ribosomal RNA", at positions 355 to 704 of the family's 1533-position model. The record is from RNAcentral.